RNAcentral lists this ribosomal RNA (492 nucleotides) under uncultured bacterium. Its description in RNAcentral is "partial 16S ribosomal RNA". It matches the Rfam family "Bacterial small subunit ribosomal RNA", at positions 29 to 507 of the family's 1533-position model. The record is from RNAcentral.
AGUGAACGCUGGCGGUAGGCCUAACACAUGCAAGUCGAACGGCAGCACAGUAAGAGCUUGCUCUUACGGGUGGCGAGUGGCGGACGGGUGAGGAAUACAUCGGAAUCUACUUUUUCGUGGGGGAUAACGUAGGGAAACUUACGCUAAUACCGCAUACGACCUACGGGUGAAAGCAGGGGAUCUUCGGACCUUGCGCGAUUGAAUGAGCCGAUGCCGGAUUAGCUAGUUGGCGGGGUAAAGGCCCACCAAGGCGACGAUCCGUAGCUGGUCUGAGAGGAUGAUCAGCCACACUGGAACUGAGACACGGUCCAGACUCCUACGGGAGGCAGCAGUGGGGAAUAUUGGACAAUGGGCGCAAGCCUGAUCCAGCCAUACCGCGUGGGUGAAGAAGGCCUUCGGGUUGUAAAGCCCUUUUGUUGAGAAAGAAAAGCAGCAGGUUAAUACCCCGCUGUUCUGACGGUACCCAAAGAAUAAGCACCGGCUAACUUCGUG